AUACGGAGGGGGCAAGCGUUGUUCGGAAUUACUGGGCGUAAAGGGCGCGUAGGCGGGAAGUCAAGUUAGGGGCGAAAGGCCUGGGCUCAACCUAGGAACUGCCUCUAAAACUGGCUAUCUAGAGUCCGGGAGAGGAUGGCGGAAUUCCCAGUGUAGAGGUGAAAUGCGUAGAUAUUGGGAAGAACACCAGUGGCGAAGGCGGCCAUCUGGUCCGGCACUGACGCUGAGGCGCGAAAGCGUGGGGAGCAAACAGGAUUAGAAACCCCAGUAGUCC
RNAcentral lists this ribosomal RNA (274 nucleotides) under uncultured bacterium. Its description in RNAcentral is "partial 16S ribosomal RNA". It matches the Rfam family "Bacterial small subunit ribosomal RNA", at positions 523 to 796 of the family's 1533-position model. The record is from RNAcentral.